Molecule: non-coding RNA, 2391 nt
Organism: Elaeis guineensis (African oil palm)
Lineage: Eukaryota; Viridiplantae; Streptophyta; Magnoliopsida; Arecales; Arecaceae
Source: RefSeq, a predicted model, not a curated record
UCUCUGAUUGAAACCCGGUUCACUUCCACCCAACCCCAGCCGGCUCGAAAGAUCGGGCCAUCUUCCUCCUCGCUUCACUGCACACGGACGGCGGAGAAACAGCGAUGCGUUCCAGAUACUCCGCCGGCACUUUUAGGCUUAGAAUUCUUGUCAAUACCCCAUUUUUGCGGCCCAACCAAGUCCCCUACCGCCCCCUCUCCUCUCUUCUUGGACCCAAUCGCCCCCCCUCUUCCUACUUCCCGGCGAUCUCGUCGCUGGAAUCCGUCUCCAUGGCGAGGAUCGUCGGCCGAGCUCUCCCUCUCCCCACCAGAUCCCCCGUCCGUCCCCCUCAUUCUCCUGCCCCGAUCGCCGCCGCUCUCCAGUGGUGGCCGCGGGGUGUUCCGACGGCCUCGUCUCAUCUCUCUAAUUCGGUUCUUUGCUCGCCUUUCUAUUCCGAUUCUCAGAGAAGGGGAUUUCAUGUCUCGUCUAGGUAUUCGCGAUCACCGGCGCUCUUCGGGGGAUUCUUCGGGUCGCUGAGGGGAUUUCGGAAGACGAGGCGGAGGCUGGCGGCCAAGAAGCAGGCGCUCAAGGAGAAGCAGCUAGAACUCGACGUCAAGAUCAGCAUCGAAGAUGAACUGCCUAACGAUCCCGAAGUUUUGAGCAUUGCAGAAAUGCUAAAAUUGAAUAUUCCCAUGGCAAUGAAAAUUGCAUUUGAUGGUCUCAAGGAUUCAGAGUAUAAAACCAGAGAGUCUUCUAUAGAUGAUGUUGGUAAAUUCGAAAAAGUUGAGCUGUCUGUGCUAUUUUGCAAUGAUGAUUUCAUUCGAAAGCUCAAUAAAGAUUGGAGAGGCGAGGACUGUGCUACUGAUGUUCUAUCCAUGUCACAGCAUAUGCCUGAACUUGAUCUUCCUAUUCUCAUGCUGGGUGAUAUAGUAAUUUCUGUUGAGACAGCUGCUAGGCAAGCAGGGGAGAGAGGCCAUACACUUCUUGAUGAAAUACGAAUCCUCAUGGUUCAUGGUUUGUUGCACCUUCUGGGCUUUGAUCAUGAGAUUAAUGGUGAGGCUGAAGCAGAGAUGCAGAAGGAAGAGGAACUAGUUUUGAAGAGUCUUGGAUGGAAAGGAAAAGGUUUAGUUAAGAGUGCAUAUGAUGCUGUAAUUGAUGGCAUCCUUCAUGCAGAAAGUUCAGAUGGAGAAGUUAUGAAAGGUCUGAAGAAAGCAGGCAGCUUGCGGUUUUAUAGACCAAAAUUUAGCUACAUUUUUUGUGAUAUGGAUGGUACACUUUUGAACAGUAGAAGUCAAAUUACUCCAAUGACAGCAGAAGCUAUCAGAAAAGCAAUAUCAAGAGGAGUGAACAUAGUCAUUGCUACUGGAAAGACUCGUCCAGCUGCUAUAACUGCUUUGAAGAUGGUUGGUUUGGCUGGAAAACAUGGUGUUGUUUCAGAAUUUUUGCCAGGGAUAUUUCUUCAGGGAUUGCUCGUUUAUGGGAGGCAAGGUAGAGAAAUAUGUAGAAGGAACUUAGAUCAAAAUGUUUGUAGAGAGGCAUGUUUAUUUUCUUUGAAACAUGAGGUUCCUCUGAUAGCAUUUUGCCAAGACCGAUGUUUCACAUUGUUUGAACAUCCUUUGGUUGAUUCCCUGCAUACAAUAUAUCAUGAGCCAAAGGUACUCAGAUGCAGAGGUCAUGCCUUCAGUUGAGCACCUCCUAGCAGCUGCUGAAGUACAGAAAUUAAUUUUUCUCGACACUGCUGAAGGGGUUUCUUCUACUUUGCGGCCACAUUGGACAAAAGCAACCAAAGGCCGAGCAGGUAUUGUCCAGGCAAUGCCAGAUAUGCUUGAAAUUGUACCACAUGGGACGUCAAAAGGCAAUGGGGUGAAAAUGCUGCUAGAUCACCUGGGUGUCACGGCAAAAGAGGUCAUGGCUAUUGGUGAUGGCGAAAAUGAUGUUGAGAUGCUUCAAAUAGCAUCGCUGGGGGUUGCGCUUGCCAAUGGGUCGGAGAAGGCUAAAGCUGUAGCCAACGUGAUUGGAGCCACAAAUGAUGAAGAUGGUGCAGCAAAGGCUAUAUACCAGUACGCUUUCUAACAUGCAAUUUGAGGACAAGAUACAGGACAGCAGUCUGAUUUGAUUUUUUCAAUGAUACGUAGGAUUCAACCAAUGAUAGAUUUUUAUUUUUUUUAUAUUUUGUGCAAUGAUUAUUGCAAGCAGAUUGAGCCAAACAAAAGGCCUUUUCAUUGUCUGGGCUAUGAUGACCAUAGCUUUUUGAAGUUAGGACUGUUGUUUUGAGCUGGAGAUGCCAGAUCACCCUUUGUGUUCCAGGUUUUUAUUAUUCUGCUUCUCCAUAAUUGAAGGGCUUUAUUGUUGUUGCCAAACAUGUAUCACAUACGAAAAUGGAGGAAAAAAUUCCAUAUAUUUGACUUUGAA